This 392-nucleotide ribosomal RNA is filed under the name uncultured bacterium. RNAcentral's name for it is "partial 16S ribosomal RNA". It matches the Rfam family "Bacterial small subunit ribosomal RNA", at positions 523 to 918 of the family's 1533-position model. The record is from RNAcentral.
ACACGUAGGGGCCUGACGUUGUUCGGAAUCAUUGGGCGUAAAGGGCGCGCAGGCGGCCGUCCAAGUCCGGUGUUAAAUGGUCGGGCUCAACCCGAUCAUGCGCUGGAAACUGGGCGGCUUGAGUCCCGUAGGGGAUGCCGGAAUUCCAGGUGUAUGGGUGAAAUCUGUAGAUAUCUGGAAGAACACCGAUGGCGAAGGCAGGCAUCUGGCCGGAGACUGACGCUGAGGCGCGAAGGCGCGGGGAGCGAACAGGUUUAGAUACCCUGGUAGUCCGCGCAGUAAACGAUGCGCACCAGGUGUCGGGCGGCAGCGCCCGGUACCGGAGCUAACGCGAUGAGUGCGCCGCCUGGGGAGUAUGCCCGCAAGGGUGAAACUCAAAGGAAUUGACGGGG